GUAACACCCGGAAGGCGGCGGAGGACAGCAAGGUGGCUGGCCGGCAGGCCAAUGGCGGCCAACGCCACUUCCGGCCGCCCUCCGAGCAUCGCUCUUCGGCAACCCGAAGCCACAGGAUGGAGGAGGGGGAUCCCAGCAAAGGUAGCGACUAAGGGGACCCAAGCAGAACGGGAGGGCGACGUCCGGAGCGGCGGCAGAGCCAGGGGACGCUGUGUGAGGCUGGCAAAGCGGUGUUCACCUAGUUCUCUCGGGCUCCGCCGCCGCCGGAGGAGGACAGGAGGCCGGCAAGGCGACCCCCAAAUCUUCCUAGGCUCUGACUUCCGUCUCCUAACCCCCGCAAAUUCCAACCCGGUCUUGGAAAAUCCCGCGAGAACGGGCUCCCGAAUUGUCAUUGGGAUCUCGCGAGAACGAAAUCUUCCUUUCUGUGGGCGGAGCAAUCUUCCCGAUGUCUCUUCCCUCUGAGGCCAGUAGCAGGAAGGGCCUCGGGAGUUGCGAGUGUCGCGAGGUUUGAGGUCGCUCGGUGGGCCGGGCGCUGUGCGAAGCUAGAAAUAACUGGGGGCAUGGAGAAUGCGGUGGCUGUAAAGGGCCGCUGAGGCGGUGGAGGCCUGGCAGAGAGCGUCCCCGCGGUCGCGGCUUCUGGCUUCUCUGUGGAGCUUGGUUCUUCCGUGGUGGUGCAGCACCCCAGGAACUUCAGGAACCAGUCCUUCCUUGGAGAGCUCCCCGGGACAGCCACGGGGGCCAAGUGAAACUAGCGCGUUUUCUUGGAUCCUACACUUUAUAGUGAGUCAUAAAUACUUUAAAUACAAAGCCAACAACAUUUGCUGCAAAUAAACGUAAAAAUACUGUUAAAGUGUAAAGUGUUUUCCUCCGUACCAUCUGACGUUUCUGGCGGUUCGUUGAACGCGAGAGAACGCUGAGCCGUCUGCACUGAGCCCGGGAGCAUCUUCAGGGCAGCGCCGCCCACGCGCGAGGUGAAUGAAGGACACGGCCUCUUGACACUCCCAGGCAGCACAGAUAGACGGAUCCGUCUCUGCCCUUGAUCACAUCAGCAGAAUCCUUUUGCCAUUGGCUAGAAGUGACCCCAGGAUUUUUUUAUUAUCAAGAGAGACUAGAAGAAUCAUGAGACUUUUCCUAGUUGCCUUUCAAGAAUAUGAAGAAAAAAAUGGUUCUCAAAGUGGGUUUGAAUGAGUAUUGUUCCAAUAAAUGAACUUAUAUUCAUAUUUCA
Homo sapiens (human) is the source of this 1225-nucleotide long non-coding RNA. Ensembl annotates it as ERCC6L2 antisense RNA 1. Its record names the gene ERCC6L2-AS1. Lineage: Eukaryota; Metazoa; Chordata; Mammalia; Primates; Hominidae. The record is from Ensembl.